GACGAACGCUGGCGGCGUGCUUAACACAUGCAAGUCGAACGGAAAGGCCCUGCUUUUGUGGGGUGCUCGAGUGGCGAACGGGUGAGUGACACGUGAGUAACCUGCCCUUGACUUUGGGAUAACUUCAGGAAACUGGGGCUAAUACCGGAUAGGAGCUCCUGCUGCAUGGUGGGGGUUGGAAAGUUUCGGCGGUUGGGGAUGGACUCGCGGCUUAUCAGCUUGUUGGUGGGGUAGUGGCUUACCAAGGCUUUGACGGGUAGCCGGCCUGAGAGGGUGACCGGCGACAUUGGGACUGCGAUACGGCCCAGACUCCUACGGGAGGCAGCAGUGGGGAAUAUUGCACAAUGGGCGGAAGCCUGAUGCAGCAACGCCGCGUGCGGGAUGACGGCCUUCGGGUCGUAAACCGCUUUCGCCUGUGACGAAGCGUGAGUGACGGUAAUGGGUAAAGAAGCACCGGCUAACUACGUG
This 468-nucleotide ribosomal RNA is filed under the name uncultured bacterium. Its description in RNAcentral is "partial 16S ribosomal RNA". It matches the Rfam family "Bacterial small subunit ribosomal RNA", at positions 28 to 507 of the family's 1533-position model. The record is from RNAcentral.